GUAGGUGAACCUGCGGAAGGAUCAUUAGAGAACCUGGGCCUGCGCUACUUGCGCGGCUCCAACCAAUACACAGUGUGUUAUACUUCUCUUGCUUUGGCUCUGCCAAAGGUUUUAAACACAGAAAUUUAUUUUCUCUAGAAACUAGUCAAUUUGAAUUUUAAUCUUCAAAACUUUCAACAACGGAUCUCUUGGUUCUCGCAUCGAU
RNAcentral lists this unclassified non-coding RNA (205 nucleotides) under plant metagenome. Its description in RNAcentral is "partial contains small subunit ribosomal RNA, internal transcribed spacer 1, and 5.8S ribosomal RNA". The record is from RNAcentral.